This 433-nucleotide ribosomal RNA is filed under the name uncultured bacterium. RNAcentral's name for it is "partial 16S ribosomal RNA". It matches the Rfam family "Bacterial small subunit ribosomal RNA", at positions 29 to 507 of the family's 1533-position model. The record is from RNAcentral.
AACGAACGCUGGCGGCAUGCCUAACACAUGCAAGUCGAACGAGACGUUCGGGUCUAGUGGCGCAGGGCUGCGUGACACGGGGGAACCUGCACUUAGGUUCGGAAUCCCUCACCGAGAGGGGUGCUAAUGCCAGAGAAUCUCUUAGGACCAAAGAUUUAUCGCCUUUGGAUGGGCGCGGGUUGGAUUCGCUGGUUGGUAGGGGAAAAGCCUACCAAGGCGACGAUCCAGAGCUGGUCGGAGAGGAGGAUCAGCCACGCUGGGGCUGAGACACGGCCCAGACUCCUACGGGAGGCAGCAGUGGGGAAUAUUGGACGAGGGGCGAAAGCCUGAUCCAGCAACGCCGCGUGAGAGAUGAAGGCCUUAGGGUUGUAAAGCUCUCUUACCCGAGAUGAUAAUGACAGUACCGGGAGAAUAAGCACCGGCUAACUCCGUG